This 377-nucleotide unclassified non-coding RNA is filed under the name uncultured Actinomycetes bacterium. Its description in RNAcentral is "uncultured actinobacterium contains 16S-23S intergenic spacer region". The record is from RNAcentral. Lineage: Bacteria; Bacillati; Actinomycetota; Actinomycetes.
UCCGAGUUGACCCCGGCGGUCUCCUAUGAGUCCCCACCAUAACGUGCUGGCAACAUAGGACGAGGGUUGCGCUCGUUGCGGGACUUAACCCAACAUCUCACGACACGAGCUGACGACAACCAUGCACCACCUGUAUACCGCCCUUGCGGACCCCGUAUCUCUACGGCUUUUCCGUACAUGUCAAGCCCAGGUAAGGUUCUUCGCGUUGCAUCGAAUUAAUCCGCAUGCUCCGCCGCUUGUGCGGGCCCCCGUCAAUUCCUUUGAGUUUUAGCCUUGCGGCCGUACUCCCCAGGCGGGGCACUUAAUGCGUUAGCUACGGCGCGGAAAACGUGGAAUGUCCCCCACACCUAGUGCCCAACGUUUACGGCAUGGACUAC